RNA transcript from Ahaetulla prasina, 5878 nucleotides. It is a transcript of the gene named nudix hydrolase 3, with no coding region annotated. Lineage: Eukaryota; Metazoa; Chordata; Lepidosauria; Squamata; Colubridae. The record is from RefSeq and is a predicted model, not a curated record. The transcript is spliced from 11 exons.
CGAAGCGGAAAGGGGCGAGUGAUUCCCAAUCCUCGGUUACGCUGCUUGCGUAGUAUGCGCCGAAGAAGAAAUCCCGGGCAGCGCUUUUCUCCACCCGCUGUCUCUGCGCCGUUGACGUAGUAUGCCCCAAGAUGGCGCCGCGGUCGUCGUCGUUGGCGGCGGUGGCCGAAACGCUGGCAGAAGCUGCGGUCCUAGUCCUGGAGCAGCAGAGAGAGGGAACAAGGCGGCGGGUGGACGGCGACAGUAUUUGUAGCAAGUAGCGGUGCAGAGGGGGCUUCCCCUCCUUUUCGGCUGUUGUGUGAGGAGGCAGAGACUCUCUGGGAUAGCGGGUCCCCCGCCCCCUUCAGGCAGGGAGACCCCAAUCUACCCGCGUGCGGAGCCGACACCCUUUUCUUGGCUCAUCUCGCUGCUGCCUCCCUGGUGGGCCUUCCCACCCCUUUCCCCGACCGGAGAUGAUGAAGCUCAAGUCCAACCAGACUCGAACCUACGACGGGGACGGAUACAAGAAACGGGCGGCUUGCCUCUGCUUCCGCAACGAGAGCGAGGAGGAGGUGCUGUUAGUUAGCAGUAGUCGUCAUCCUGACAGAUGGAUUGUCCCUGGAGGUGGAAUGGAGCCUGAAGAAGAGCCUAGUGUGGCUGCUGUGCGGGAAGUUUGCGAAGAGGCUGGAGUGAAAGGGACAUUAGGAAGAUUAGUAGGAAUUUUUGAGAACCAGGACAGGAAACACAGAACAUAUGUUUACGUACUUAUUGUCACAGAAGUAUUGGAAGAUUGGGAGGAUUCUGUGAAUAUCGGAAGGAAAAGGGAAUGGUUUAAGAUAGAUGAUGCCAUAAAAGUUCUGCAGUAUCACAAACCUGUACAGGCUUCAUACUUUGAAACCUUAAGGCAAGGCUAUUUGGCUAAUAAUGGCACUCCUGUUGUGACCACAUCAUUCUCGAAGGAGAGCACACUAUCUGACAUCAGAUGACUGAAGAUAACCCUAUCAGAAAAGUUUGAAACAGACUGAAACUUGGAUUUCCUUUCCUCCCCCCUUCUCGCCGCUUUCACAUGUGUUCUUUGGUAAACAAGACAUGUGCAGCAGCCUUUGGCAGAGCAGAUGUUUGAGUGUUGCAUUAUAGUGCAAAGUGGGUGGUUUGGGGUUUUUUGUUUUUGCUUUUUCUUGGAUAUGUAUUUUGUAAUACACAUUUUGUGCAUGAAGUGCCCCUUCCCUAUUAACAAAAAUUUUGACAAUGUGAACAGCAAGGCUAUUACUUUCAUCUAUGCCUUGUCCUCUGAAAUGUUCUUGUAUAUACUAUUCCAACCAUAGCCAAAUCUCUUAUCUUUUCAGUAAAGAAGGCUACAAAUGUGAGAUCAAUUCUUUAUGUCUUAGAUUUUGUACUGUAAGGUACUGUUGAGGUCUGUGUGGUGGCCACUUGCUCCACAUCUGCACGUAACAUUUUUUAGAGGGAGAAAUCUAACACUGAUUUUGCAAGAUUUUUUUUAAAAAAACACAAGCUGCUUCUAUAAAGAGGGCUUCAUAAACUUGUCUGCCUUGUUCUUUAAAAAAAAUUCUUUAUGACAGUGCUAGUGGCUGGGCCAGUUUCAUUCCCUGCAUCCUAUUCCCUGACCCAAACUUAAUACAAUGAGACUUGAAGGAGACUUGCAAAGCAUCCCUGGUGCUCAAUUCUUUCUAUAGUUUCAACCAGUAUGUCAUGUAACAAUGGACAUAAUCACAAAGAAUUGGUCACCAUUCAUUCAAAAGCAUAUGGGUUCAGAAGCCUAAUGAAUUCCAACUUCAGUAAAUAGGAAUCAGGGAUUCAAAAUGAGUUGAAAAAUGUGAACUGGAACAUCAAGCACUAAUGCUUUUAAUUGUGUAAAAUGAUUUAUCCUCCUGUUGCAUACUGCUGGUGUCUUUUUUUGGUCCAUAUGCCUUACAUCUUACUGAACUGGAUAUUGUAAUUUGUGCUAAAGCAUUGGAUUGUACUUUGAGUGUCACCUCAUGGUGGGACAGUCACUUUAUGUCCCUGAAAAGAAUUCCCAGGGAAAAAUUCAAGUGUCCAGUCUCCUUUUCUGUAAUAUUGUAUCAUGGAGCACACUCAGAAUUGUAGACUUAAUUUCUUAAGCAGCAAAGGUACAGCUAGUUCCCAAGUAGAAUUGUUUAUAUGGGGAUCUGUGUCAUUUAAUAGGAUAGUUAACCUGAUGCAUUGGCACACAUCACAUUUUUGUUUCUGUUGAUGUUUCAUACUGUCUUGAUUUGCCAAUAGUGUUGUCUUGUUUUUGGAAAGGGCUGUGGGAGGGGGUGGAUCUGGGUAGAUUUGGGGAGGGGCAUUAGUUCAUCCCUGGCUUGAGACAGGACCUAGUUGCUAUAUUUGGUGACUACUUCUUUGUCACAGUAUAGCCAAGAUGUGAAAUUAAACCUGCAGUACUCCAAUUUAGUAGAUAAUUCUCCCUUCCCCUUAUAUGCUUAAAAUACAUUAAAAAUAUUCUGAAAUAGUCAUGCAGCCUGAUUAAAAAUAAAUUAGUAUAGUUUCUUCAAUAGACAGUUGCUAUAGAACCAAUAAUAUUUCUUAUUUUUUAAUUCCCUACUUUCUGUUAAUAGGAUAGCAUUCCUUAAAAUGGCAUCACUGAAAUCAAAAGCAAUACACAGUACAUGCUGAAAGGUGCAGUUGAAAAAAGUGGCUUAAACCUGAUCUUGAACAAAUGAAAAAUUAUGUUAUGCCACUUUAUUGCCCUUCAUUUUAACAAAUAAUAAAAUUUAGCUGAAUGAACUUGACUAAUGUCUUGAAGCGUACAAUACAAUAAUAAUUUAUUUUACUAAGUAUACGUGUGACACUAUUCAGGAUAGCAAACUAUUGCCUUUAACUAAAGUUUUGUGUCUCAUUGAACUGAUUAGGACACAGACAACUGUUUGAAAGAGAACUGAGACUCCUGACGGAGUGACUGCAGUUUUAAUAUCUAUAGCAUGCACACUUUUUUAAAACUCUAAAAUGUUUUUAUAGGGCUGUUAAACUGACACUUUAGAAUAGAAUAUUGUUAAUGAUAUUCUAAUAGUGAUUUCUUGUUUGUUUGGGUCAGGAAAAAUAAAUUGUGCCAAGAAAGUAGUUACUGUGGGAUGAAUUGAUGCUGUUUAUACAACUGCACUGAGUUGCUGAUGUUUGCCUUCUGAACUGGAAAUGGAAGAUGUGUCUCCUGGGGUAUAAACUGUCUGGAUUAUUGGUAACAGACCUUCCCUUUGCCUCCAAGGCCAUGCACUAUACUCACUACAGGAACUAACUCUAAAGAAGCUAUUUUAUCACCACUCACCCAUGGACUUUAAUUAUCACAAAAAAGGUAGAAUGUUUGGAACUGAAUCAGACUUUUGAGACUAUAUGACAGCCCUGUAUAACAAAUGACCCUGGGGUACAUGUGGCCUGCCAAGCAAUUUUGGGUAGACUGCAAGUGUUUUUUGAAAAUUCCACUGCCUCCAUGAUUGGCAGUCAUGAGGCCACUUAGUCCACAUUUUGUCCAUAAUCUGUAGUUAGCAAUUGUGGUAUGAGCAAAGUUUUUUUUAAAUUUAUUUCUGCAUAAACUGUUCUCCAUUCAGUUCUUUCAAAUUUAACUUUAGCUAAAUUAAACCAUGCUGACUUAUCUUGCCAAUCAUAGUCUAGCACUCUGAUUACUCUGCUAAAGGAAUCAAGCUACUGAUAUAUUAUAUAGAUCUAUAAGAAAAUGAUAGGUUAUUAUAUCGUAAUUGCACUGCCUACUAAUUCAUUUUUUGCAAAAAUAUACUGAUGAAACUGAACUCUUGCUUUCUAGUUGAUUGAUUGUACUUCAGUUUGAACUAUCAUGUAAAGGCACCUUACAUGUAACGACAGCUGCAAUUUGAUGAGAUAAUAGGAGAUAAUUUCCAAACAGAUUUCCUUAACAUUAGGCAUUGCGCAUGCACACCAUAAUACUUGAUUUUGAAUUCGAUGCAUCUACAUUAUUGUUAAUGCACACAAUGGAAUCUGAACAUAUUGCUCUGAUGACUAUAUAUAUGACAAAGUACUGCAACUUUUCAAACACAGUGUUCAAGCAGUUUUUCAAACAGCACAAUUUUUAUAUUUAAAUAAAUGAACAGAGACGGGUGAAGGUCACCACUAUUGGGGCAUAGGGUUGAUUACUUAUAGAAUAGGAACAUUCUUCAAUGAUUCAUUCCAAUAGUGUGAGACUAAAUACAGAUAAUUGUGUUUUUGUGGUCCCUACCUGGCAAAAGCUACAAUUUUGCAUGUAAAAAUUAAUAAAUUGUACCAUCUCAGUGUUAGAAGUAUAGUACCUUUACUGGGGAAUGUGUUUGCUUCAGAUGAUUGUUUUUUAGUAGAAGUGUCAGGUAGCAAUGUAAAUAGUUACCUAGGCGAGUUAGGCAGUAUAGAAAUUUAAUAAAUUAAAAAAAUGUGUUUUAAAACAUUGUGAUACUUCUAAGGCUGAAUGUUCUGGGUUAGUUUGGGCUACAUGAAAUCUAUAACAGCCAGGAAGAAAAAAAUUGAUAGAUUUCUUUUCCAUGUAUUAUAAACUCACUGCCAUAUUUUAAGAUAGGAUUGCAAAUUGACACUCCCACUAUUUUAUUAUGAUUUAUAUGCAGAGAGAUUUUCUAAGGGCUUGUAUUUUGGUGCAGUUUUCUAUCAUAUGAUGGCAAAAUAAUUUGUGACAUCCUUUCCAACAUAUUUCAAAUCAGUUCUCCAUGCAGAGAACUGAAAGACAAAAUGUGGACAUCUUGCUUGGCAUCAACUUCCUAAUGCACAAAUUGUGGUUGGAAAGAAACUGGAAACUAUUCAAAUCCCACUAUUGAUGUCCUAUUUGAAUGCAAGAAAUAUAUAUUCGUUUUUAACACUUUGUAGGACAAUUUGAUGCACUUCAGAAAUAGGCCUUAUUGAACUGGAUUACAUUUAUUCUCAGAACCCAGUUUCAAACUACACUUUCGGAACUUUUCGCAUUGCAGUUCAGAGAACAUCUCCCCCGCAGACGGAGGAUCAACGUGAGAGCCGGUUCGAGGCGAGACUUCCGGGAAGAAGAUGAGCGUUGCGGAGGUGUUUUUAUAUACGGAGAUGCUGUUGUAAACCUGGGAAUGCCGAAGAGGUGGACUUCCCAAUGAUGACAGGAGCUGCUUCUCGGAUCCUGUCAAGCAAGUUUUCUAUGCCAUGAAUAACACCACCAUGCCCACUUCUGCUGGGCCAACCAAUGACUCCCUGAUGAUGUAUAUCCAGAAAAAAAGGAGGUGAUGCGAGGUUGGGGAGGAUACCAGCCCUAUCGUAAUUCAUUUAUGGAUGUGAAAGCUUGAUGGUACUCAUCUUGGACUGAUCAGAGUGUAGAUGGAUGACCUCUUCUACCUGGCAUGUGUGCCAACUUGAAUGCCAUUAAUGUUGCUGCCUUUCUUCACACUUCAGUACUACAGCCUCUUGCCGUGACUUCCAGUAACAGAAGGUGUAAUGGAUGCCAGCCGUGUCAAGAAGAUUGGCACUGAGCAUCUGGUACAAAGAGUAGCCUAGGGAGUUGGAGAAUUGUGUUUGGAACUAGGACAGCUUGCUAUGUGGCAUCAUUCUUCGUAUCAGCUGAUUUGCAUUUUAUGUGGAUGAUGAGAUACAGGAGUUUAUGAAAUUUCAAGUAAAAUAUUACUGAAUAACUCUUGCAUUACGGGCAUCGAUCCUCAAAAGCUCAGCUUUGUUUUUUUUUAAAAAAGCAAUGCAGUCAACCUCCAUUUUCUUUUGUGAACAAAGAGCAUAAGAAUGCAGCUGCUAUGAUAUCCCAGCGCAUUGCUAGCUGCCUUCUCUCCUUACUUGCCUAAGUAUGUAAAAGGGUGUAUUAUUUAAAGUUGUUGGGAUUCCUGUAAUGUAUUGCUGAACUGAUGCGAGCAAAGUGAAUAAAAUUGCUAAAUGCAUAACUUGG